UGUCAACCUGUUGGGAAAUUAUAGCUGCUCCUCCUGCCAGAUCAGUCAGCUGAGAUGGAAACAUCAAUCUGAGAAGAUGUGCACUUUCUGUCGCAUGAGAAAAAAACAGAGAGGUGACAUGAUUGUCACAGAGGAAUCGUGGAGGACCACAAGGUUUAGAAGAUGGCUCAAUAUUCCAACCUUGCAAUUCUCAGAGAAAGUAAUGAGCUCCUAGAUACAGCCACUGCUCUGAGUUUCAGAUAAAUGAAGAUCCCUUCCUGGCC
Molecule: long non-coding RNA, 263 nt
Filed under: Marmota marmota marmota (Alpine marmot)
Lineage: Eukaryota; Metazoa; Chordata; Mammalia; Rodentia; Sciuridae
Description: lncRNA (ENSMMMG00000011111.1)
Source: RNAcentral